UACGUAGGGGGCGAGCGUUGUCCGGAGUUAUUGGGCGUAAAGCGCACGCAGGCGGUCUUUUGCGUUCGGAGUGACAGUCGUCGGCUUAACUGACGAAGCGCUUGGAAAACGGGGAGACUUGAGAGCUCAAGAGGGACACGGAAUUCCGGGUGGAGUGGUGAAAUGCGUAGAUAUCCGGAGGAACACCAACAGCGAAGGCAGUGUCCUGGGAAGUUCCUGACGCUCAGGUGCGAAAGCCAGGGGAGCGAACGG
Molecule: ribosomal RNA, 252 nt
Filed under: uncultured bacterium
Lineage: Bacteria
Description: partial 16S ribosomal RNA
Rfam family: Bacterial small subunit ribosomal RNA
Source: RNAcentral